This 74-nucleotide transfer RNA is filed under the name Candidatus Shapirobacteria bacterium RIFOXYA1_FULL_39_17. RNAcentral's name for it is "tRNA-Arg". It matches the Rfam family "tRNA". Rfam says of the family: Transfer RNA (tRNA) molecules are approximately 80 nucleotides in length. Their secondary structure includes four short double-helical elements and three loops (D, anti-codon, and T loops). Further hydrogen bonds mediate the characteristic L-shaped molecular structure. tRNAs have two regions of fundamental functional importance: the anti-codon, which is responsible for specific mRNA codon recognition, and the 3' end, to which the tRNAs corresponding amino acid is attached (by aminoacyl-tRNA synthetases). tRNAs cope with the degeneracy of the genetic code in two manners: having more than one tRNA (with a specific anti-codon) for a particular amino acid; and 'wobble' base-pairing, i.e. permitting non-standard base-pairing at the 3rd anti-codon position. The record is from RNAcentral. Lineage: Bacteria; Candidatus Shapironibacteriota. RNAcentral also lists the same sequence under 2 other names.
GUCCCCGUAGCUCAGUUGGAUAGAGCGCCUCCCUUCUAAGGAGGAGGUCGCAGGUCCGAUCCCUGCCGGGGAUA